Molecule: ribosomal RNA, 253 nt
Filed under: uncultured bacterium
Lineage: Bacteria
Description: partial 16S ribosomal RNA
Rfam family: Bacterial small subunit ribosomal RNA
Source: RNAcentral
UACGGAGGGUGCGAACGUUGUCCGGAAUCACUGGGCGUAAAGGGCGCGUAGGCGGCCUGAUAAGUAGGGGGUGAAAUCCUGCGGCUUAACCGCAGGGCUGCCUUCUAAACUGUCAGGCUAGAGCACAGUAGAGGCAGGUGGAAUUCCCGGUGUAGCGGUGGAAUGCGUAGAGAUCGGGAGGAACACCAGAGGCGAAGGCGGCGACCUGGACAGGUACUGACACUCAACUACGAAAGCGUGGGGAGCAAACAGG